Molecule: ribosomal RNA, 500 nt
Filed under: uncultured Sphingobacteriales bacterium
Lineage: Bacteria; Pseudomonadati; Bacteroidota; Sphingobacteriia; Sphingobacteriales
Description: bacterial SSU rRNA
Rfam family: Bacterial small subunit ribosomal RNA
Source: RNAcentral
CGCCUUGCCAGCCCGCUCAGAACUUAAUGAAUUGACGGGGCCCGCACAAGCGGUGGAGCAUGUGGUUUAAUUCGAUGAUACGCGAGGAACCUUACCUGGGCUCAAAUGUAUGUUGACGUAUUCUGAAAGGGAUACUUCUUCGGACAAUAUACAAGGUGCUGCAUGGUUGUCGUCAGCUCGUGCCGUGAGGUGUCGGGUUAAGUCCCAUAACGAGCGCAACCCCUAUCAUUAGUUGCCAUCAGGUCAAGCUGGGGACUCUAAUGAAACUGCCUACGCAAGUAGUGAGGAAGGUGGGGAUGACGUCAAAUCAGCACGGCCCUUACGUCCAGGGCUACACACGUGCUACAAUGGUCGGUACAAAGGGUUGCCAAGCCGCGAGGUGGAGCUAAUCCCAUAAAACCGAUCGUAGUCCGGAUCGCAGUCUGCAACUCGACUGCGUGAAGUCGGAAUCGCUAGUAAUCGUGAAUCAGAAUGUCACGGUGAAUACGUUCCCGGGCCUU